This 253-nucleotide ribosomal RNA is filed under the name uncultured bacterium. RNAcentral's name for it is "partial 16S ribosomal RNA". It matches the Rfam family "Bacterial small subunit ribosomal RNA", at positions 524 to 776 of the family's 1533-position model. The record is from RNAcentral.
UACGUAGGGUGCAGGCGUUACUCGGAAUUACUGGGCGUAAAGCGUGCGCAGGCGGUUUUUUAAGUCCGAUGUGAAAGCCCCGGGCUUAACCUGGGAACUGCGUUUGAAACUGGGAGACUUGAGUGUGGCAGAGGGGGGUGGAAUUCCACGUGUAGCAGUGAAAUGCGUAGAUAUGUGGAGGAACACCGAUGGCGAAGGCAGCCCCCUGGGUUAACACUGACGCUCAUGCACGAAAGCGUGGGGAGCAAACAGG